ACGCUGGCGGCGUGCCUAACACAUGCAAGUCGAACGGAAACAAGAGCUUCGGUUUUUGUUUUAGUGGCGAACGGGUGAGUAACGCGUGAGAAACCUGCCUUUCAGUGGGGGACAACAGUUGGAAACGACUGCUAAUACCGCAUAAUGUUUCGAGAGGGCAUCCUCUUGAAACCAAAGCUUAAUGUGCUGAAAGAUGGUCUCGCGUCUGAUUAGCUAGAUGGCGGGGUAACGGCCCACCAUGGCGACGAUCAGUAGCCGGUCUGAGAGGAUGAACGGCCACAUUGGGACUGAGAUACGGCCCAGACUCCUACGGGAGGCAGCAGUGGGGAAUAUUGGGCAAUGGGGGAAACCCUGACCCAGCAACGCCGCGUGAAGGAAGAAGGCCUUCGGGUUGUAAACUUCUUUUAGCAGGGACGAAGAACGUGACGGUACCUGCAGAAAAAGCAACGGCUAACUACGUGCCAGCAGCCGCGGUAAUACGUAGGUUGCAAGCGUUGUCCGGAUUUACUGGGUGUAAAGGGCGUGUAGGCGGAGAUGCAAGUUGGGAGUGAAAUCCCGGGGCUCAACCCCGGAACUGCUUUCAAAACUGUAUCCCUUGAGUGUCGGAGAGGCAAGCGGAAUUCCUAGUGUAGCGGUGAAAUGCGUAGAUAUUAGGAGGAACACCAGUGGCGAAGGCGGCUUGCUGGACGAUAACUGACGCUGAGGCGCGAAAGCGUGGGGAGCAAAC
RNAcentral lists this ribosomal RNA (727 nucleotides) under uncultured bacterium. RNAcentral's name for it is "bacterial SSU rRNA". It matches the Rfam family "Bacterial small subunit ribosomal RNA", at positions 33 to 773 of the family's 1533-position model. The record is from RNAcentral.